RNAcentral lists this long non-coding RNA (1260 nucleotides) under Chrysolophus pictus (golden pheasant). RNAcentral's name for it is "lncRNA (ENSCPIG00010006936.1)". The record is from RNAcentral. Lineage: Eukaryota; Metazoa; Chordata; Aves; Galliformes; Phasianidae.
UAACACAUGAUUAGGGAUGUUAAAUUCACUGAUGAUAGUUUUCCAUCUCUACUCUAGACAUCCACAAAGGCACCAAAGCCUGUCAGACAGUCCUCUCUUGACCUUCCCACCACCAGCAUGAUGGUAGCCAGCACAAAAAGCCUGUGGGAGACUGGAGAAGUUGCUGCCCAAUCUGCAGUGAAGACCCCAGCCUGCAAGGAUAUCGUGGCUGGAGACAUCGUGAAUAUAAGAAGCCUUUGGGAACAGAAGGGCGGUCCCAAACCUGAGACCAAUAUCAAGUCUACUCCUUCUGGCAAGAAGUACAAGUUUGUUGCGAUGGGCCAUGGCCAGUACAAGAGGGUAUUGAUAGAUGAUGCUGCAGAGCAGUAGCAUGCCUGGAGAACCCAUUAACCAGCUGUGCUUGGUCCUGUCUCAAUGCAAUCCUCAGUGCUAUGACUUCCUCUGCUCCAUAGAAGAUAAUCGAAGGACAUUUCUCCUGUCUGAUGUCAGUUUGCUCUGGUACAGCCUGACUCCUCUUGGGGUGAGCGCACCCCACGCUGCCUCCAGCUGGCUGCGAGGGAUGGAUCAUCUGGCCAAACCAGUCCCACUUUUAACCUUCUACAAGACUCUUUGGCUCUUUUUUUCCUUUUUUUUUUUCUUUUAAUUAAAUCUGGCUCUGCCAUGGAGAUGGGAGGAUGUGGCUCACCUCCAUCUCUUCUUUUUCAAGUGCUGAAAUAGAAGGACCUGCUAUCCUGCCCAGCUGGCAGGGCUUCUGCUGUGUGAUGGAGAGCUUCUGGCUCUGGGUGGCUGGUGGGGGGAGCUCAUGAGAGUUCCAGUGGAGGAAUUGGUGUGGGAAAGGAGAGUGAUGGGCGGACUCUGUGCCACCCUCCUAGUGCCUGCUGUGUGAAGAUGUUGCACUGCAACAUCUACUUCGAGGGACCUCCAUCUCCAUGUGCACAUCAAACUGUUUUAGUUCUGUUUAUUUAGUUCCCGUAUCAUCCUUUAAUCACAACUAAGUAGCCAUGCCAUAAUGUUCUUGCCACUUUUCUGUAUUGUCAGUGGCAGUAGCUUUGUUUCAAGAAGCUGCUGCCUUCCCCUCUGCUGCCCAUGGUGGGAGUGAGCACUCCUUCUCUAGGUAAGGGGCUCCUCUUGAAGUUUUUUUUCCUACCCCCUUCUCACAAAGGCUCUCAACAUAAUUUUGCUUCUGCUUCAAUUUACAAUGUGUUCUGGAUUUAAUUUUUUUGUAAGCAUUUAAUAAAAUUUGAGGAAGAUGUUGUAACA